CUGAAACAUAAUUGGUUAAAGAUGAAUGAUGGGUUGGCAACUCUAUUCAAAACCUCAAAUGUUGAUACAACACUGAUGAGGAAAUAUAUGGCAAGGAGACAUUGGACAAUAGUAGCAAACACCAUCAAGAUCAUUUUUAUUUGGAGUAGAACAAAUAAAGAGAAGUUCCUGUUCGAUCCAGGAAACCCGUUGGAGAAAAUGCUUUAUAUGCAUAUACGGAAUGCGAAGCUUAAAGGAGUUUUCAG
Eurytemora carolleeae is the source of this 245-nucleotide long non-coding RNA. RefSeq lists it as uncharacterized. NCBI's taxonomy places the organism in Eukaryota, Metazoa, Arthropoda, Copepoda, Calanoida, Temoridae. The transcript is spliced from 3 exons. The record is from RefSeq and is a predicted model, not a curated record.